Molecule: ribosomal RNA, 468 nt
Filed under: uncultured bacterium
Lineage: Bacteria
Description: partial 16S ribosomal RNA
Rfam family: Bacterial small subunit ribosomal RNA
Source: RNAcentral
GACGAACGCUGGCGGCGUGCUUAACACAUGCAAGUCGAACGGUGAAGCUCCAGCUUGCUGGAGUGGAUCAGUGGCGAACGGGUGAGUAACACGUGAGCAACCUGCCCCUGACUCUGGAAUAAGCGCUGGAAACGGCGUCUAAUACUGGAUACGAGAAGGGUCCGCAUGGGCACCUUCUGGAAAGUUUUUCGGUUGGGGAUGGGCUCGCGGCCUAUCAGCUUGUUGGUGAGGUAAUGGCUCACCAAGGCGACGACGGGUAGCCGGCCUGAGAGGGCGACCGGCCACACUGGGACUGAGACACGGCCCAGACUCCUACGGGAGGCAGCAGUGGGGAAUAUUGCACAAUGGGCGAAAGCCUGAUGCAGCGACGCCGCGUGAGGGAUGACGGCCUUCGGGUUGUAAACCUCUUUCAGCAGGGAAGAAGCGAAAGUGACGGUACCUGCAGAAGAAGCACCGGCUAACUACGUG